Long non-coding RNA from Octopus bimaculoides (California two-spot octopus), 8265 nucleotides. The record is from RefSeq and is a predicted model, not a curated record. NCBI's taxonomy places the organism in Eukaryota, Metazoa, Mollusca, Cephalopoda, Octopoda, Octopodidae.
ACAUGUAUACGUAUAUAUAUCUAAAGAAUACUGGUAGAAAAUUUUCAACUAAACUUCUACCAACUGCAAAUGUAACAGGAGGCUUGAUAUUGUUACUGGGGUCACUUCCCUGCAGAUGUGAACAUCCUUUCCAUUAUCAGUGAGACGGAUAACAUUUAUGAACAACUGCUUCAAAACCUUAAACUCCUCCUCCCUGAUUAUAAAUUCAUAUUUAUACCAAUAAUUAUUAGUUUUACUUGUUAUGUUAGUAAAUACUCAAAUGACAAUUUGAAAAAGCUAGAAUUUUCAGGCAAACAAAGAGACCAGCGAACACACAGUUUACAAAUACAACCUCUAAGUGGAACAGUAAAAAUAUGCAAAACUUUUCUAAAGUUCAACCUGUAGCAUUUAUUGUUGUUAUUUAAGUUCCAGUGAUGGCGCUUUGUUUCUUUGUUAGAAAUCAACUCCUUUCUUUUAGGAAGGAUUCAAAUAGAAACAAAGAAACAUACAUAAAUACAUGUACACACACACACAAUGAAAGUUAGUUCAAUAAUGAUAAUGACCAUUGCUUGUUAAAGGAUCACAAAGUGAAUGACUUUAUGGCCCAGUUGAUUACCUGCAGUUUUUACUACAACUAUUACAUAAAUGUCUCUUCUCAGUUAAAUGCAAUGCAGAAUCAUAGCAAUUUGUCUUGUGUACAGAUAUACAUCUCCUCAAACCACAAUUUAGAACAUGACUGGCACAAAUAAACUCUUAUGUGGUUAUGAUUUAUUAUUAGUUUAAGGCAGUGAGCUGGCAGAAUUAUUAGCAUGACAGACACAAUGCUUAAUAGUAUUUCUUCUGGCUCUUUAUAUCCUGGGUUCAAAUCCCACCAAGAUCACCUUUGCUUUCUAUCCUUUUGGGGUUGAUAAAAUGAAGUACUAGUUGAGCUCUGGGAUCAGUGUUAUUGAGUUGCACUCUCCCCUAAAAUUUUUGGCUUCCUAUCAAAAUUUGAAACCAUUAUUAGCUUGUUUUGGUUCAUGCAUUCUUGAGAGUCUAAAAGAACCAGUCUUUGAAAGACAAACUUGGUUAGAAGUUGAACAUGUGAAAUAGUUUUUUUCCUGUAAAUCUCAUUUAAAAUUUGUGUGUUGAAUGCAAUUCUCUUCAAAAUACAUGAAUACAUUCAAUAUUUUUUUCUCUGUGAUGCCCUCUCAAUUGCAAUACUUUUCCAACUUCCCAUAUGAAUAUUGCAUUUUUGUAAAUAAGAUUUAAGGCAGUGUUUGUAUUUUAAGUCCAGUUUAUAGAGAGGUCUUUUUAUCUAGAACAUAGUUCUCCACAAAGAAAUGCUUUGGAAUCCUUCCAUCUUCCAUCCAAACUCUGUGGCAUGUCCAUCCCAGUCUGUUAUGUCACAAGAGAACUUCUAUGCUUACACCAUAUGCUUUUACCAAGACAUCAACAUCACUCACCUCAUCUCUCUAAGAUGUAUGCAAAAAUUUGACAAACACACCUUUGCUGAAAUCACUCCAACUGUUUAACAUAUUUUCAAUCUAAUGUCCAUAUUUCACAGCCAUACAACAAAAGACAAAAUGCAUGUUACAAAAAUACAUAUUUUACUGUCAUAUGUUAAGACAGUCUUUGUAUGUUAACUUCAGUUUAUAAAGAAGUCAUUUUAACCCAGUUCAUCACCUGCAACAUUUACCACAGCUAUUGCUUCAGUGUCUCUUCUUCUCAGUUAAAUGCAAUGCAGGAUAAAGACAACUGACAAUUGAAAACAGUUCAGAAACAUGUCUCUUCAAAUCACCAACAGAAAGACAACAUAUAUUACAAUUGUUUUUUUGAUAUUGAAACAAUAAUAAGGAUUGUAAUUUUCUAAAAGUUACGUUGAUUUUUAAAAACUUUAUUUCUAAUUUCAUCAGCAAAAUUCACAUCCCCAUUCAACAUAUAAAGGAAUAUACAUUUUAACAUUAUAACUGUUUUUUGGAUCCACACAAAGCUUUUCGGAGCAGAGCUGAUAAAGAACAGUUUUGUUAACAUUUAUUGUGAGGUGUAACAUGCUAAAGGCCAAUGAAACUUCAUCCACAAGAGUUUGAAGAUCUUUUUCCCUGUGUGUAAUAACACUGGAAUCAUCAUCACAGAGUACAGAAGAAAGCCUCUCAUCAAAGAAACAAAAGUGUGAUUUAGAAUUAACCCUUUUGGUAAAAAAAUUACCUCACAGCACUGAUCGUUCUCUGAUGUGAAUUUUAUGUUCUAAAGUGAGCAAAAUUAAAAGCUUCCAUCAAAAUUUCAUGGUAGUUUGUGUUUCAAACACCAGAUUAAUAAUGACAGUUACUUCACUAAAUUCCUCAUCAUUUUCAAAAUUAAUUGUAACAAAGGUUGUGUUUUUCGACAGAAAUACGGUAACAAAAGGGUUAAAGUGAUCUAGAUUAAAACUUUCCAUCAAAGUUUCAUGUUAACUUUGUCCCAAACACCAAAUUAAUAACGACAAAGUUAUUUUACUAAAUUCUUUUAUUAUUUCAAGUAUUAAUUGAAACAAAGGCAAUAUAUUUCAAUAGAAAUAUGGUAACUAAAGGAUCAAGCUGUCUGAGGUUGAAUAAAUUACCAGUUGUGUGGUAGCAUAUGUAAAUAUUCUAAGAGUCUUCUAUGAAAGGGAUGAAAAAAAAGCUAUUGUGAAAUAUACUGCAAAGAUGAAGCCAUAUUAUUCCAUCACAGACUGAAAACUAGUCUGAGCAUUCCAACAUAUAAUCAUAUAUCAACAUAAAAGGAUUUAAUAAUGUCUAUAAAUUUAUCAGGGUAACCAACUUCUGAGAAUUACCCAUAAUGCAUCAGAAUUCAUUGAGGUCAAUGAAACAAUGCUAGAGGUCAAGUGUCUGCCCAAUGCUUUUUUUUUUUUUUUGUUCUUGAAAAUGGUGAAACAAAAAUAUGUCAUUGUUUGGUUUCAGGUCCAUGGAAGAAGGAAUAGUUGUGUGUAUUGAAUGAGACAAUGAAGAACAAUAUUUUCUCUACAUACAUACAUACAUACAUACGCACACAAACAUUACAUACACAGACAUGCUAAUAUGCAAAUGUACAAGUAUAUAUAUGAACAUACAUGCGCACAUCAAGACAUACAUACAUAUGAAUAUACAUACAUAAAUAUAUACAAACAUACAUAGCUACAGACAUACACAAAUAGAUACAUUCAAACAUACCCAGAUACAUUUCUAACAUAUCUACAAAGGAAUAUACAUACACAGACACACAGAGAAAUAUACAUCCUAUGUACAUGCAUGCAUGCAUAGAUAACAUGCAUAGAUAACAUGCAAACAUACAUAAAUAAUUAUGAAUUCACCUUCAUACCAAUUAUGAUUGGUGCACUUGGUUGUGCAAAUAUAUGUCUAAGUGAUAAACCAAGGAUUUUAAGGCCAAGAAAGAGAUUGGCUAAAAUAAACUUUACAAAUACAAUUUGUAAGUGGAACAGUAAAAAUAUGCAAGACUUUUGUAAACAUGUAACAUGUUUUUGUUGUUGUUGUUAUCCAAAUUCCAGUGAUGGAGCUUUGGUUUUUUGUUGGAAACCAGUCUUUUUUUUUUUUUCUUGCAGGAAAAAUUCUAAUAAAUGAAAACAGAGCAUACAUAAAUACAGACAUACAUAUAUGCACACAUAUGUAUAUACACAAAUAUACAUACACAAAUAAUACAUGCAUAUACACACACACACAUAUAGUGAUAGAUAGAUAGAUAGAUAGAUAGAUAGAUAGAUAUACCUAACCCUGAAUAAGAAAUGAUACAUAAAAUACUAUAGUUCGAGAUAAAAGACAGGAUGAUCAUGCCUGGAAUGCUUUUGAUUCCAAGUUCAAAUCCCGUUAUGACCUAUGUGAUAGGUAGACUGAAUCCCUUGCAGAUUUAGUCCCACCACCUAACACUUGGCUGCCUUUAGGAAUCAAGUUCAGGUCUCAGGACAUCUUCCUUCUUACAUCCCUCCCACCACUCCUGGACGCUCUGUAAGGGGUCAUGAGAAGUGCUUUCUCUUCUGACUUAAAGGUGGGGGAACCCUUACUUCUCAACCACAUGGUUUGGGCUUCAGUCCCACUGCAUGGCACCUUAGGUAAGUUUUCUACUAUAGUCUCAAGCUAACCAAAGCCUUGUGAAUGGAUUUGGUCGAUGGAAACUGAAAGAAUCUCAACGUGUGUGUGUGUGUGUGUGAGACCACUGCUUGACAACCGGUGUUGGGGUUUUUACGUCCCUGUAACUUAACGAUUUGACAAAAGAGACUAACAGAAUAAGUACCAGGCUUUUAACAAAAAUACUGGAAUCGAUUCAUUUGACUAAAAUUCUUCAAGGCGAUGCUCCAGCGUGGCCGCAGUCUAAUGACUGAAACAAGUAGAAGAUAAAAAUUUAAGUCUGUUUUGCUAAGUAUUAACAAAAGAUAUCUAGAGUUAUCUCCCAUACUUAUGAGAAUUUUUUUUUUUCUUCUAAUUAGGUAGAAGACCAACAACUUGCAUAUUUAUUUUUCGGUGGAAGGUUGAGGUUAAUAAUUAAUCAAUAAUUACAUUGAGAUCCAGUAGUUGACAGAUACAUUAUUGACCUUGGAUGAAAGCCAAUGCUGACUUCAGCAGAAUUUCAACUUAUAAACUCAGAUCGUAAGAACCAGAAGAAAUACAGAAAGUUCGAUACAUCAACCUUCAGUAACGAAAUCAAGGAGUUCAUUGAUCUGUGACUAUUGUGCACGUUACAGACAUUCCUAAGUAUACUCAACAAUACAAUUACAAGCAUACAAUUAUGUACACACACACACACACACACACAGAGGCUUAGAUACAUAGAAACAUAUAACUACACACACAAAAACAUACAUACACACACGCAUUGAAGAAAUUCUCUUUUACAGUUUUACCUUCCCUAAUUUAUUUAGUUUAAUCAGAAUCCCACAACUAUCAUGGAUAAAGGCAGGAACGAAAUUUGCUUCGUGGGUACAAACCCAGUGUUUUUAGGAGGACGUUCAAAGCAUUUUCAUUGCCCUCCACCAUAUUUGAGGGGGAGCAGUUGCCCUCUCUUUACCCCCUGUUCCCAAGCCUAUGUUAUCGUGUGACUUAUGUAAAGUGACACUAUAGAGCAACGUUUUUCAAAUUUUGUUUUACCAUCAAUAAGGAUAAAAACAGAGACAGAGAUUGUCUAAAAUUUUUUAAAUUGCUAAAAUUGAAAUGUUUACUUGUUAAUGAAACAUAAACAGUGAGAUCAAAAGGUCACAAAUUUUGACUUAUUUCUCUAAAUAUUUAAUAUUGGUUUCAAAUUUUGGCACAAGGCCAGUAGACCUAAAUAUUUGAUAUUAAAAUCUAAAUGUAGACACAGGCAUGGUUGUAUGUUUAGAAGCUCAGUUUGCAAUCUCAUGGUUUCAGGUUCAAUUCCAUUGUGCAGCACCUUGGGCAAAUGUCUUCUGUAGUCUCAGGCCAACCAAUGCCUUGUAAAUGAAUUUGAUUGACGGAAACUGCAUAGAAGCUUGUCAUAUAUAUGUUAGUGUUUGUCCCCCCACCACCACUUGCCAACAAGUGUUAGUUUGUUUACAUCCCGAUCGAAAUUAAGUAGCUUAAAAAUAAGCACCAAUCAAGUACUGUGGUCAAUGUAAUUGACUUACCCCUUUCCCUCAAGAAUGCUGGCUUUGAACCUUGGGACAAACCAACCUCUCAAUCGAGGGAAUGUUGUGGUUUAUAUCACUUAUAUGCCAUGGAAACUGAGUAACUGGCCUUAGUAUUUCUAGGACCCAAGAAAAACGAAAACAUAAUACCAUGAAACAACCAUAGUAAAGGAACAGUGAUUAGAGACAUCACUUUAUGUCAGCAUGGCAAAUAUGAAUGACACUAAGUGAAAUUAGAGAAUAAUGAGUGUAACUUUUAAUGUAGAUCGGCACCACUUCACUAACUUGGUCUACAUGCUUACAUGUGAAAUGAAAUGUUUGUGUAACCCAAUAGAUUAUGAGACUUAGUAAAAUGUGAAUCAGACUUGUGUGCCUCCUGGGGUCAGAUAAACUUUAAAUCUAAAUCGGUUUUAAUUGAUACUAAAAUGAAAGCAGCACAUAAUAUGGUAAAAUGUAUUUCUAAAUAUCACACACACACACAUGUGUGCAUGUAUGUAUCAUCAUCAUCUUUUAAUGUUCUAUCCAACCCAUGUUUGGUUUGACAGAAUUCACUGAGUCCAAGGACUGUAACAUGCUUCAAUAUUUCUUUUGGCAUGGUUCCUGUCGCUGGAAACCCUUCCUAAUACCAACCACUUUACAAAGUGUGCUGGAUGCAUUUUUUCAUGGCACCAGCACGAGUGAAGCUGUCAUGUAACUCACCAGAUUAUGAUCCUAUCAACUGAGUGGGACUACAGUAGAGAGCAAGGUGGCUUUAUGCUAAAUGAUAAAGGAAAGGACUAGAACAAACUUCUCGCUCUAGAGGAGGCACUUGGCUGCUCUCGUUAUACAAGAGUAAUCAAUAUCUAUGUUUUUAAAUAUGUAUAUCUAUAUAUAGUAAAUAAGAAUAAAACAAAUGGAUAUUCCAGAGUAUCACUACAUGGGUUCCAAUAACAUUUAUUCCGAACACAAGUAGAAUGGCCAAAUUAAAUAGGUAACUUUAUCAGAGUUCAUGUUGUUACAAGCUACCAUUACUUCAGGAGAUUCCUUGCCAACUAUUUUGGUGACAUGCUUGUUUUUAUGUCAAGUUGUAUACAAAACAAUUUAGCAUUAAACCGAAGGAUUAGACAACAUAUUUUAGUGGAGUACAUAUUUAUUAACUUUCAUGUGGAAAGGUUUGACAAGUCAAAACUUUCAAAUAACAAUCAAACUUUCCCUUGUAAAAGUUUAUUGCACACAUACAUAAUAUAUACACUGACUAGUAAAAUAAAUAAAUAUGUACAUUCCGAGCAUCUUCUUCCUUGGUCUUCAAUUGAAGAUUAAAGCCUCUAAUCCUGUCGAGAUUUAUCUAGAAAUGAUAAUCUCCCUUACAAUAACUGGCCACCAAGGCACAUCACAGAUUGAUUAGUGACAGAGGCAGUAGUAAUAUCAUGGAUGUCUUGUUAGAAUGCCAAAUACUGUGGUAUUCACCUCAAGAUCAUCUCAUGUAGACACAGGGUGCAUAAACGCACAGACAUAUAUCAUAGCAGACAAGAAUCAUCUGUUAUGGGUGCUAGAACAGCUAGAUAAUAGGAUUUCAGUCAACUGAAUUUCCUCAGUGAUAGAUGUCCAGUGACCACAUACCAGCCAAAUCUCGCUGCCUGAUAUAUAAAAUUUCAGUGUCUUUUCAGUCACUUAUGUUGCAAAUAACCAUCAGGCUUAUUAAAAAGUAAUUAUUGUAUUAAUACCAAAUGGUAAUCUUUAUAUUUAUGAUGUGCAUGUUUGUGUCAGUGAGAGAGAGAGACUGUUAGAGACAAAUAUUUUUCAGUGUAUAUAGCAACUAAGGUAAAAUGGAAUAUAUCCUUGCCUCAUUGUCUUAACAAGAUGUCUUUGAUGUGGUCAACUGCUACUUUUUCUAUCUCAAUCAUUGGUGUUCACAGUAGAUAUCACAUCUGUUAACAUAAGAUUCUUGCAUCUGUUACCAGAAAAUAUUACAUCUGCCAACAACAAUGUAUGACAUUUGUUGACAUAAGGCAUAUGACAUCUGUCAAUAAAAAUCCAUUACAACUGUCAACAUAGUUCAGCACCAAUUUAGCCCUCAUCCCAUUCCUUUGUUAGUAAUAAAUGCAAUUAUACAUCACCUCAAUUAGCCUCACUAAUUAUUGUGUCCAGACGUCAUUUUUAUACUGUUGACCAAUUUUAUUAAAUAGUUUAGGACUACACACACACAUAUAUGAGUGUGUAUAUAUAUACAUAUACUCAUAUAUUACAUGCAUGUAUGUGCAUGCAUAUGUGUGCGUGUAUGUAUGUAUAUAUAUAUAUAUAUAUAUAUAUAUAUAUAUAUGAACUCAUACAUAUAUAUACAAAUAUAUAUAUGCAUAUGUUUUAUGUAUAUAAAUGUACAAACAUAUAUAAAUGUAUGCACAUAUAUUACACACACACAAAUAUGCAUGUGAGUAUGUGGUGAUUGUGAGUGUGUGUAGUUGGGCACCACAUGUACAUACACCACAUGUACAUACACCACAUGUACAUACACCAAUAAACAUCUGUUAUUUCACAUUUCAUUUUAUAUCUUUUAUAAUUUUAAACACUUGUUAGAUUUAUUUACAUUUGUUAUUUUAUAAUUGUUGUUUAGAAAUAAUGAUUCUUUACUAUUCUAAUUAAUUGUUAACAUUUGUUCAAACAUUGUUUCUACGAAAUAAAAACACAUUCAUUGCUCAGAAUUAAAGAUAAAUCUAUUAAGA